GAUGAAGCUUUUCGGAGUGUAAACCACUGUCAGAGGGGACGAAAUCUGACGGUACCCUCAGAGGAAGCAUCGGCUAACUACGUGCCAGCAGCCGCGGUAAGACGUAUGAUGCAAGCGUUGUCCGGAAUCAUUGGGCGUAAAGCGUUCGUAGGCGGCCUGUCAAGUCUGAUGUUAAAGCCCAGGACUCANUCCUGGUCCAGCAUUGGAUACUGACAAGCUAGAGUACAUGAGAGGCAAGGGGAAUUCCUAGUGUAGCGGUGAAAUGCGUAGAUAUUAGGAGGAACACCGGUGGCGAAAGCGCCUUGCUGGACUGAGACUGACGCUGAGGGACGAAAGCCAGGGGAGCAAAUGGGAUUAGAUACCCCAGUAGUCCUGGCUGUAAACGAUGGAUACUAGGUGUUGCGGGUAUCGACCCCUGCAGUGCCGCAGCUAACGCGAUAAGUAUCCCGCCUGGGGAGUACGCACGCAAGUGUGAAACUCAAAGGAAUUGACGGGGACCCGCACAAGCGGUGGAACAUGUGGUUUAAUUCGAAGCAACGCGAAGAACCUUACCAGGACUUGACAUCUGGCGAAUCCUGCAGAAAUGCGGGAGUGCCUUCGGGAGCGCCAAGACAGGUGGUGCACGGUUGUCGUCAGCUCGUGUCGUGAGAUGUUGGGUUAAGUCCCGCAACGAGCGCAACCCUCGUUGUUAGUUGCCAAUAACGGCAUGCUGUUAUUGUGCUCUCUAGCGAGACUGCCGGUGAUAAACCGGAGGAAGGUGGGGAUGACGUCAAAUCAUCAUGCCCCUUAUGUCCUGGGCUACACACGUGUUACAAUGGGUGGGACAACGAGCAGCCAGCCAGCGAUGGUGAGCAAAUCUCUUAAACCUACUCCCAGUUCGGAUCGCAGUCUGCAACCCGACUGCGUGAAGUCGGAAUCGCUAGUAACCGUAGAUCAGCACGCUGCGGUGAAUACGUUCCCGGGUCUUGUACACACCGCCCGUCACACCAUGGGAGCUGACCACGCCCGAAGUCGGUGAGCUACUCUUUGAGAAGCAG
Molecule: ribosomal RNA, 1037 nt
Filed under: uncultured organism
Description: bacterial SSU rRNA
Rfam family: Bacterial small subunit ribosomal RNA
Source: RNAcentral